GACGAACGCUGGCGGCGUGCUUAACACAUGCAAGUCGAACGGUGAAGCGCUUGCCUUUUUGGUGGGUGUGGAUGAGUGGCGAACGAGUGAGUAACACGUGAGUAACCUGCCCUCUUCUUCUGGAUAACCUCAUGAAAGUGGGGCUAAUACGGGGUAUUCCGGGUCUGUCGCAUGGCGGGUUUGGGAAAGAUUGCGCCUUUGGGGGUUUUCGGUGGGGGAUGGGCUCGCGGCCUAUCAGCUUGUUGGUGGGGUGAUGGCCUACCAAGGCGGUGACGGGUAGCCGGCCUGAGAGGGUGGACGGCCACACUGGGACUGAGACACGGCCCAGACUCCUGCGGGAGGCAGCAGUGGGGAAUAUUGCACAAUGGGCGCAAGCCUGAUGCAGCGACGCCGCGUGAGGGAUGGAGGCCUUCGGGUGGUGAACCUCUUUCGCCAGUGAAGCAGGCCUGCUCCUGUGUGGGUGGGUUGACGGUAGCUGGAUAAGAAGCGCCGGCUAACUACGUG
This 504-nucleotide ribosomal RNA is filed under the name uncultured bacterium. RNAcentral's name for it is "partial 16S ribosomal RNA". It matches the Rfam family "Bacterial small subunit ribosomal RNA", at positions 28 to 507 of the family's 1533-position model. The record is from RNAcentral.